AUUGAACGCUGGCGGCAGGCCUAACACAUGCAAGUCGAGCGGUAGAGAGGUGCUUGCAUCUCUUGAGAGCGGCGGACGGGUGAGUAAUGCCUAGGAAUCUGCCUAGUGGUGGGGGAUAACGUUCGGAAACGGACGCUAAUACCGCAUACGUCCUACGGGAGAAAGCGGGGGAUCUUCGGACCUCGCGCCAUUAGAUGAGCCUAGGUCGGAUUAGCUAGUUGGUGAGGUAAUGGCUCACCAAGGCGACGAUCCGUAACUGGUCUGAGAGGAUGAUCAGUCACACUGGAACUGAGACACGGUCCAGACUCCUACGGGAGGCAGCAGUGGGGAAUAUUGGACAAUGGGCGAAAGGACCUGAUCCAGCCAUGCCG
This 371-nucleotide ribosomal RNA is filed under the name uncultured bacterium. RNAcentral's name for it is "bacterial SSU rRNA". It matches the Rfam family "Bacterial small subunit ribosomal RNA", at positions 30 to 399 of the family's 1533-position model. The record is from RNAcentral.